UACGUAGGGUGCGAGCGUUAAUCGGAAUUACUGGGCGUAAAGCGUGCGCAGGCGGUUUUGUACGCCAGAUGUGAAAUCCCCGGGCUUAACCUGGGAAUGGCAUUUGGGACUGCAAGGCUGGAGUGUGGCAGAGGAGACUGGAAUUCCUGGUGUAGCAGUGAAAUGCGUAGAUAUCAGGAGGAAUACCGAUGGCGAAGGCAGGUCUCUGGGCUAACACUGACGCUCAUGCACGAAAGCGUGGGGAGCAAACAGG
RNAcentral lists this ribosomal RNA (253 nucleotides) under uncultured bacterium. RNAcentral describes it as "partial 16S ribosomal RNA". It matches the Rfam family "Bacterial small subunit ribosomal RNA", at positions 524 to 776 of the family's 1533-position model. The record is from RNAcentral.